Molecule: ribosomal RNA, 622 nt
Filed under: Biatora vacciniicola
Lineage: Eukaryota; Fungi; Ascomycota; Lecanoromycetes; Lecanorales; Ramalinaceae
Description: SSU rRNA
Rfam family: Bacterial small subunit ribosomal RNA
Source: RNAcentral
UUAUUCAUCUUUAAUAGGUUUAAAGGAUACCCAGACGGUAAAUCGAGCCCUAGACGGGACUAAUUUGCUAGAGUUACUUAUGCGGGGGCUAUGAAGUACUAAUGGUGUAGAGAUAAAAUUUUGUGAUACCAUUUUUCGAAAGAAAAGUCAUGGCACUGGUAAAGGCGAAAGCAUCCCCUUAUGUGAUAACUGACGUUGAAGGACGAAGGCUUUGGAUCGCAAAUAGGAUUAGAUACCCUAGUAGUCAAAGCAGACAAUUAUGAGUGUCAUAGAUUAGAGACAAAUCUUUAUUCUAUAAAUGAAAGUGUAAGCACUCCACCUCAAGAGUAAUUUGGCAACAUUGGAACUGAAAUCAUUAGACCGUUUCUGAAACCAGUAGUGAAGUAUGUUGUUUAAUUAGAUAGUCCGCUAAAAACCUUACCACAGCUCGAAUGUUUAUAUCAAAGAUAUAAACACAAGCGUUGCACGGCUGUCUUCAGUUAAUGUCGUGAGACUUUGGUUAGAUCCAUUAAAUUAACGCAAGCCCUAACUUUAUUUUUAUAUAGAGUUGUUCGCCACUAUAUCGGAUAUGUGAUAACAGGGACUAAGACAAGUCAUCAUGGCCUGAAUGCUGUGGGCUAUA